GAUUGAACGCUGGCGGCAGGCCUAACACAUGCAAGUCGGGCGGUAGCACAAGGGAGCUUGCUCCCCGGGUGACGAGCGGCGGACGGGUGAGUAAUGUCUGGGAAACUGCCUGAUGGAGGGGGAUAACUACUGGAAACGGUAGCUAAUACCGCAUAACGUCUACGGACCAAAGCGGGGGACUUUCGGGCCUCGCGCCAUCAGAUGUGCCCAGAUGGGAUUAGCUAGUAGGUGGGGUAAUGGCUCACCUAGGCRACGAUCCCUAGCUGGUCUGAGAGGAUGACCAGCCACACUGGAACUGAGACACGGUCCAGACUCCUACGGGAGGCAGCAGUGGGGAAUAUUGCACAAUGGGCGCAAGCCUGAUGCAGCCAUGCCGCGUGUGUGAAGAAGGCCUUCGGGUUGUAAAGCACUUUCAGCGAGGAGGAAGGGWSCAGGUUUAAUACACCUGUUCAUUGACGUUACUCGCAGAAGAAGCACCGGCUAACUCCGU
RNAcentral lists this ribosomal RNA (490 nucleotides) under Enterobacteriaceae bacterium 'ARUP UnID 316'. RNAcentral's name for it is "bacterial SSU rRNA". It matches the Rfam family "Bacterial small subunit ribosomal RNA", at positions 27 to 506 of the family's 1533-position model. The record is from RNAcentral. Lineage: Bacteria; Pseudomonadati; Pseudomonadota; Gammaproteobacteria; Enterobacterales; Enterobacteriaceae.